AGAAUGAGAAAUAAUUAAGGUCUCUGGUAACUUUACUAACAGAAAUCAAAUUAAACGUCAACUUUGGUAGAUUUAAGACAGAUGACAAGGUAAUAGAGGAAGUUGCUUUUACAGUCCCAAAUCCAACACUAGUACAAGUUGAUCCAUCAGUAACCGGAGAAGGUGCUUUGUGUGAUUGAAAGCUAUAAAAAUUAUUAGGAUUACCUGUCAUGUGAUUUGCGGCACCUAAGUCAAUCACCCAUUUAUUUGAAGAGGUGAUAAGACAUGUUUUAAAUGAUCCAGCAAAAGCAUUAACCGAAGUGGAUUCCUUCAGUGAUUUCUGAUAUUGAGAAAACUUAACAAAUUCCUCGACCGAGAGCAAAAUCAUUUUAUCGGAAGACGGACUAUGAACAGUAGAAAUACUAGCCAAAGUCUUCAUUUCUCUGCCUGUGUUACUUGUCAUUUUCAAACAAGUCCACAGUACCUAAAAAGAAAUUUCUAACAGAGAGCUUAACCAAACUAUCGUUCCCCACCAACAAACUAGAAUAGACUAACCAAAGUGUUGUGCACAGUAGCUCCUAACUAUGGUACUAUAAAGCACCCAACAGUAAUAGAUUCCAAACAAUUUUGACUAAGAAACCAAGAGUCGAAAUUCAAAUCUGAUUCCAAAAAAGUAGCUAUGGAGAAACCAAGGCAACGAGAUACAAAUCAUAUUUCAAAGAAAAAAUAUCAUAAAAUGUCAAAGAAAAAUAAUUCCGAUCCAAAACCAAGGGCAAGCAAAACGUAGAACGCGAUUACCGUUGUUUACUAUAAUCUGAUGAUGGAAACACCAAAAAUACGCUGAAUUCUAUCUCGCGAUGUUGGAGCCUAAGAAUCAGACCAAAUAGGACCUAUCAAACGCUCACACUAGCUGCUGGAGAAAUCCUGCCGGAAAGUUAUCGCCGGCGCUAGAGUUUCACGUACUUGGAAUUCGGGCACCGGAUUCUUGGUUUCUACAGAUCGGAGGGAGACUAUUCUCCCUAUGUAGGCUAUGACUGCCACUUCUCACCUCAGCGAAAAAUCCGGCGAGGCAGUGAACCAAUUCCGACGAGGCAGUGAACUAAUUCCGACAAAGACACAAGCUUGGCUCUGAUACCAUGUUACUGAACAAGGAUACAAGAGCAGAAGGCAGAAGAAGGGUUGCUCGAAUUCAAAGACAACUGCUACUUAUGGAAGUAGAAAGAAAAAUUAUGCAAUUGGAGAGCUUCAAAUAUCAAGGACAAGUAAGGAUAUCUGUACUUUUUCAGUGUCUUAUAUGAUCAAACUAUUAGAUUUACAAUAUUCAAUAUUUUCUAUGCGAUCUGGUGUGAACUGUGAUCAAUCUUGAUGCACAUUACUAUAUGAGAUGUAUGCUUUUGACGUUUCUGGUUACAAAUUGGAUUAAACCGUAUUAUGCCCUACUGUGUGUUCUGAAGUAGUACUGGAUCCACAAUUGUCUUGAGGGUUUAUGAAGAAAAGAAAGUUGUUACAUGGAGAGGAACCUGUUGAUGUUACUUCGACAUGUUGAGCUUGAGUAAAGUUAAAUAAGAAAAGAUGAAACUAUAUCUGAAACCCUCUUAUAGUUAUACAGUUGUGCCCAGUUAGCUCUAGUAAAUUAAGGUUUGUCCUAGUCUGUCUGCUGUUUUAGCUCUCUUAUUCAUGUUCCACUUCCAUAUCAUUUCUAGCAUGAUGUUAUCAAAUAAGAAGCUAUUGCACCCAAGGGCGUGCCCAAGUGGUCAAUGAAGUGGGUUGAAAACCUUGAGGUCUCAGGUUCAAAUCCCAGUUGAGGCAAAAAAGACGGUGUCAUUUCUUUGCAUCUAUACAAGCCUUGUUGGACCGAGUUAUCUGGUACUUGUGCUGGCGGGAGGUAGCAGGUACCCCCGAGGAAUUAGUCGAGGGUGGCGCAAGCUGGCACGGACACCACAGUUACCCAAAAGAAAAAACAAGAAGCAAUUGCUGUCAUUCUGUUUUUUCUAGUAGCUACGUAGAACUGCAAAUACAUAUGUCUAGGAGGCGAAAUGUUGGCUAGACUGCUUUUAGCCAGAUUAAUUUUUCCUGUAUCAGGUAGUUUGGUUAAACCCCUCGAUGCAUCCUCCCACCUGGAAAAAAAAGGAUUAAAAGAAAACUAAGAGACUUGAUGAGUUUUUAAGGAGUUCUCGUUGAUAUCAAAUGUAAUUCUUCAACAAGUUGUUUAAUGCUUGUUUCUUGUUUCCUUCUCUCUUCUACUCCUUGCACAUUUCAGGAAAAAGCUGCAGAGUGCAUGUUUGGAUUGGCGUUAUAUAAUCUUGAUCGCUUAUUCUAUGCUGUGGAAGGCCAUGCAAGGGCAACCGAUGAAUGGAUAAAGUUUCUUUGUCUUUCAUCCUAAUUUUUAUUAGCCUUUAGACUUGGCAUAAUACAUAAACAAACCCUUAAACUUUGCCUCAGCUGGCAAGUAUGUCCUCCAACUUUGGGUGCGCACAAGUAGGCACCUCAACUUCUCUAAAGUUGAACAUGUGAACACAAAUGCUGACGUGGCACAAACAUUUUGGAGGGCCACGUCAUUGCCACAUCAGUACCACGUCAGCAUUUGUGUUUACAUGUUCAACUUUAUACAAGUUGAGGUAUCUACUUGUGCACACUCAAAGUUGGAGGGCAUACUUGCCAGCUGAGACCAAGUUGAAGGGCCUGUUUAUGUAUUAUGCCUUUAGACUUUUCGCCAAUCUAAUAUAAGUCGCUUGAAAUAUUUCUCUGUAACAUUUCCGUUUAAACAGUUUGAGGUAGGAUAUCAUUGACUUGGUAAAGCCAGACACUCAAACUGCUCAAAACUCAAGAUCACCUCACGCAUGGAGCGCGUAUAUGACUGCUUGUUUCCUCUACCAAGACAUCGAUAGUACAGACAAUCUUCAAAUUUUCUAUUUAUUGGGGCACACAUAAGAACAGUUUUUCUUGGUAUAAAUGUAAAUGGAGAACCCCCACACCCCGUCCCUUUUUUUUUCCUCGGGGUUAUAUUUUGUCCUAAUGCUGGGGCAUUUGCUGUUUUUGUUGCAAUGUCCACCAAUUUUGAUAAUGUACAACUGAAUAUAGAAAUCCUGCUACCACUCCCCACCUUGGACAUGUUUUUUUCCUUGUGACUUCUUAUUUGAUAUGACUUGUUUAUAAAUAGAGAUAACACUUUUACUGAAAUAGGUUUAUAGACAAGUUGCUUAAAAAGAAGUCAAGUGGCUGAACGCCCCUACUACUUACUUUGUUUGAUUCAAAAGGAUGGGCCCUUCCACUCGUAAUUUUGAUAUUAAGCUUUACCUUACCUUUAAGAAAAGCGGUAGGAAUAACUCUUCAACUGAAUCCUGUACACCCUAUCUGCCCCUUUCACUUAAUAAAACCUUUUUGCAUGGUGUCUGCGUUACUUUAUUCAUUGACGUGCCCAAAGUCGAUUCUAGAAUUUUGAUUUAAUGGGUUUAAACUUUAGCUUCCUAACUGAACUCAUUACACUUUUGAAACUACGGGUUCAUAAUUUAUUAGUAUUUAUUAAAAUUUCAUUGAUUUUUCAUAUAUAUUUCUAUGCUCUGUGUUGAAAAUGUUGAGUUCAUAUGAAUCUAGCACUUAUAUUCUCCAUCUGCCACAAAGAGCAUUAGCAGCUGCUACUACAAUUUUCUGGUAAUUACUGUUCUACUAAGAAUAAUAUAUUAGCUUAUUUGAACAGAGGUUUAUGUUUUUCUUUAUGAAUUUAAAUAAAUAACUCUUCGUGUAUAGGUGCUAUAAAGAAAACGAAGGAUUAUCUCGAUGAUAAUAUAUAUACUUUUAUAUUUUAUCUGUAUAUAUAGGUUUAGCGAUGUUACACCUCGGACAUUUAGUGUUGUUGUGCCGUGAAUAGACUAACGCAAGCUUAAGGUGAACGUGAAGUCCAUAUGACCUUAAGGAGUGUAUUUGAUAGCUAUAGAGUGCGUACUACAAGAUUUCGAAGUCACACGAAUUGGUGGAACUAAGUUCGUUGAAGGAAGUGAAAUAUAAGUUGUGUUUGGGAAGGUUUUCGCAAUAAUUGAGUUAAUAUUUAUUUAGAAAUAUUGUGAGGAAGAGUUAUAGGGCUCCUUAGAUGGUUAAUGAAGUGUUAUACAAAUGUCAAGAAGGUUCCACGAGGAUUGGAAGUCAAACGAAUCAACGAGAGAAAGUUCAGAAAAAGUGGGUUAUACGACCACUUAUACGGUCCUUAUUACUUUAUACGGUCCGUAUAAGGGUCCGUAUAACCUUUCCAGAGAAGGUCAAUCCCUAGUGGGAUUAUAUGGUUACUUAUAUGGACCGUAUAAGUGUCCGUAUAACCAAGUCGGGUCAGAUUUUCUCCAAUUAUAUAUAUAUAUGACCCAUGUUCAUAUUUUUCAUUUCCCACAGUCUCCACAACUAUUGAAAGCUCUAGAACAUUCCCCAUGUCAUAUUAACACAAACCCAAGAUAAAUCAAAGAUUAAAUACUAAGAAUCAAGAGAAUCAAGUGUGGAGAGACUCUCUAGGGUUUGUAGAGUUCAAGAUUUCUUUGGGUAUUGAAGUUGGAGUUUCAUUCAAGUGAAGUUCACUAAUCCAAAUUUCAUCCUUGUAAAAUAAAAGGUGAGUUUUACAUCUAUUUCAUGUUAUUAAGAGUAUUUGGUUGUUGAAUAACUUGGAUGAAGGAAGAAAGUAGGAGGUGAAGCUCAAACAUGGAUUUAAUGAUAUUUUUGAGUAGUAAAUUAACUUGAGUCAUGAUUCUUAGUAUGCUAUGAGUAUAAUCUUGUUGUGGGUGGUACUAAUGAUGUUGAGGAAGUAUUAUAUGUAAAUGAAUAUGGUGUUGUGUUGUAGUUAUUGUUGUGGAUGACUUUGAAAGGGAGUUUUGAUAAUUGAACAAUGCUUAACUUGAAGAAGUCUAUUGAUUAUGGUACUAUAGGUGUUGCUAUUGAUGUUUGGGAGUUGUUUAUUAUAUGGAGGAAAUUAACGAAACAAAGGAAAUGCUGCCCAAAUCCCGUUAGCUCCUAGUUGCUUAGUUUAAAGUUAAGCAUGUCUUCAAUGACCUAACCUUAGUACGAAUUCUCUUGAAUGUAGAGGCGUGAGCUUGGAAGGAGAACGUUUAGUCAUUAAGGAAACGCAAAGAUAGACAGGGAGGCGGUCUAGAUUCCUAAGAGCUUAUCAACAGAUAUACAGGAGCACUCCACUACUCCGGAGUUGCAGUUUAUUGGUAUAUUCUUUUGUGUUCAUAUAUGGGGCAUGGCGGGGUCCUGUCCCGUCCUUAUGAUUUUCAGUACUCCAGUUGGAGGCUCAUGGACAUGUGUGGAUAGUAGAUAUUUCAUGACCUUAUUAGUGUAUAUUUUGUACAUCAUUUUGUAGCCAUGUGGGCUUGUUUAUAUAUAUGUUUGAGAUAGAAUCGAAGAAUGCUUCAUAAU
Lycium barbarum (goji berry) is the source of this 5376-nucleotide RNA transcript. It is a transcript of the gene named protein DGS1, mitochondrial-like, with no coding region annotated. The record is from RefSeq and is a predicted model, not a curated record. Lineage: Eukaryota; Viridiplantae; Streptophyta; Magnoliopsida; Solanales; Solanaceae. The transcript has 3 exons.